Molecule: ribosomal RNA, 1385 nt
Filed under: uncultured bacterium
Lineage: Bacteria
Description: bacterial SSU rRNA
Rfam family: Bacterial small subunit ribosomal RNA
Source: RNAcentral
AAUUCGCCCUUAGAGUUUGAUCCUGGCUCAGGACGAACGCUGGCGGCGCGCCUAACACAUGCAAGUCGAACGGAGCUGAGAGGAGCUUGCUUUUCUCAGCUUAGUGGCGAACGGGUGAGUAACGCGUGAGUAACCUGCCCUGGAGUGGGGGACAACAGUUGGAAACGACUGCUAAUACCGCAUAAGCCCACGGUGCUGCAUGGCACAGCGGGAAAAGGAUUUAUUCGCUCUAGGAUGGACUCGCGUCCAAUUAGCUAGUUGGUGAGGUAACGGCCCACCAAGGCGACGAUUGGUAGCCGGACUGAGAGGUUGAACGGCCACAUUGGGACUGAGACACGGCCCAGACUCCUACGGGAGGCAGCAGUGGGGGAUAUUGCACAAUGGGGGAAACCCUGAUGCAGCGACGCCGCGUGGAGGAAGAAGGUUUUCGGAUUGUAAACUCCUGUCGUUAGGGACGAUAAUGACGGUACCUAACAAGAAAGCACCGGCUAACUACGUGCCAGCAGCCGCGGUAAAACGUAGGGUGCAAGCGUUGUCCGGAAUUACUGGGUGUAAAGGGAGCGCAGGCGGACCGGCAAGUUGGAAGUGAAAACCAUGGGCUCAACCCGUGAAUUGCUUUCAAAACUGCUGGCCUUGAGUAGUGCAGAGGUAGGUGGAAUUCCCGGUGUAGCGGUGGAAUGCGUAGAUAUCGGGAGGAACACCAGUGGCGAAGGCGACCUACUGGGCACCAACUGACGCUGAGGCUCGAAAGCAUGGGUAGCAAACAGGAUUAGAUACCCUGGUAGUCCAUGCCGUAAACGAUGAAUACUAGGUGUAGGAGGUAUCGACCCCUUCUGUGCCGGAGCUAACACAAUAAGUAAUCCACCUGGGGAGUACGACCGCAAGGUUGAAACUCAAAGGAAUUGACGGGGGCCCGCACAAGCAGUGGAGUAUGUGGUUUAAUUCGAAGCAACGCGAAGAACCUUACCAGGUCUUGACAUCCGAUGCAUAGUGCAGAGAUGCAUGAAGUCCUUCGGGACAUCGAGACAGGUGGUGCAUGGUUGUCGUCAGCUCGUGUCGUGAGAUGUUGGGUUAAGUCCCGCAACGAGCGCAACCCUUAUUGCCAGUUACUACGCAAGAGGGCUCUGGCGAGACUGCCGUUGACAAAACGGAGGAAGGUGGGGAUGACGUCAAAUCAUCAUGCCCUUUAUGACCUGGGCUACACACGUACUACAAUGGCGUUUAACAAAGAGAAGCAAGACCGCGAGGUGGAGCAAAACUCAGAAACAACGUCUCAGUUCAGAUUGCAGGCUGCAACUCGCCUGCAUGAAGUCGGAAUUGCUAGUAAUCGCGGAUCAGCAUGCCGCGGUGAAUACGUUCCCGGGCCUUGCACUCACCGCCCGUCA